This is a non-coding RNA of Triticum aestivum (bread wheat), 135 nucleotides long. The record is from Rfam. Lineage: Eukaryota; Viridiplantae; Streptophyta; Magnoliopsida; Poales; Poaceae.
CAACUAUUACCUCCGUCUAAAAAUUCUUGUCUUGAAUUUGUCUUUGAUAUGGAUGUAUCUAACACUAAAAUGUGACUAGAUACAUCCGUACUAGACAAAUCUAAGACAAGAAUUUUGGGACGGAGGAAGUAUAUA